AAGCUGAAGAUCAUGCAGUUACCCCAGAGGAUGUGACUGAGCAAACAAAACCCAAUGAGCCUGGUUAAGGCUAGAAAAAGAGGAAAGUGAAAUUUGAAAGAGCCUAUCUUAGUUAGGAUCUCUACUGUACUGAUAAAACACCAUGACCAAAAGCAACUUGGGAAGGAUAACUCAGGGUAAUUUCAUAUCACAGUCCAUCACUGAAGGAAGGCAGUCAGGACUUAAGGCAAAAACCCAGAAUGAGGAGCUGAAGCAGAGGCCACGGAGGGACACUUUUCACUGGCUUGCAAUUAAUGGCUUCCUCUGCUUGUUUACAUACAGCACUGAGGACCCUUGAGCAGAGGUGAUACAUUCACAGUGAGCUGGACCCUCGCCUGUCAAUUAUCAACCAGGAAAAUCCCACAAGCAAUCUGAUGGGAGCACUUUCUCAAUUGAGUUUUCCUUUUCUAAAAUGACUCUAGCCUGUGUCAAGUUGACAUAAAACUGUCUAGCACCGAGCUCAAUAAAAGGAAAUGAAAAUAAAACAUAAAAACAAAACCUGAUGAGAACAUUCAAAAAAGAAAAUUAUAAAUAAUUCCAAAUAUAUUAGUAACUUUAUCAGAAGAGGAUUAAGUUCUUCUUUUAAAAUAUGUACAUGAUUAUAUUAUAUUAUCAAUAUUUCUAAAUACAGCUAUCUGCCAUGUACAAAAUAUGUGCCUAAAAUAUGUGAGCAAAAGAAAGAUUCCGACUGGAAAAUUCUUACCAAAGAAAAGCUGAUACAACGAUAUUUCUGUAUUAAAAUUCUUGACUGUGAGCAAUGGAAGCUCUUCAAGCUGUAACGUGAGAAGUGCAAUUUUAAAACCCUUAGGACAAAGUGGCUUCAAGGGCAAGAGACCCAGGGGUCUGUACAUGGCUCUCCUCAAGUCCUCACCCGAGGAUACAUCAGUGCACUUACUGAAGCCACUACCCAUGGAAACAGGAAAACAACUGCAAAACUUUAGUGGGAGCUACUCAUACAAGAACAGGAACAGUUUGUGUUGCCAGGCAGAGCAGCGAACUUUCAAUAUUCACAGGAUGUCAGAGUAAUCAGAAGUAAUCAAUCACGUGGAAAAAUUAGCCCCAGAUUAAGGUUGCUCUGGUCCUACCUAACAAAGCUUGAAAACGAAGCCUCCAAAGAAUCAAACUGUUUUCAAGUAACUUAAUUGCAUCCCAAGAUAGAGCUCAAGAAUAUUUAUAGGAAGCAAAAAUAUCUAUGGAGCCUCAAGUUGUGCGCAACUAGCAGCUUUGCUUCAAGGCAGCUAAUCCUUGCAUAUACCCAUGGAGAUGUGUGCUGAUUUAUUGCAGCAAUUGAGAAACACUAGACUGAACUCAAGGGCCCAGCAAUAAGGCAAUGCAUAAUUAAAUUGAAGUAUAUUCACACGAUGGGAUAUUAUACCUCAUUAACAAUGAGCUGAACCUAUAUAUUAACAUAUUCAAAUCUCAAAAUAAAUAUGCUGUAGACAUAUUUGGGGGAAAAAUUAAAUGGCGCUGGUGAUAUUCUAUGUAGAUAGACAGCUAAGAUGUAUUGAGUGACUGUAUGUAUUGAGCCCUGUAAGGAUAUGUUAUCUCACUUUUUAUAAAAAAUGUAUUUAUUUUAGUUUUAUGAGUACACUGUAGAUUCAGACACACACCAGAAGAGUGCAUUGGAUCCCAUUACAGAUGGUUGUGGGCCAUCAUGUGGAAUUGAACUCAAGACCUUUGGAAGAACAGUUGGUGCUCUUAACUGCUGAGCCAUUUCUCCAGGCUUGUGUUAACUCAUUUAAUUCACCAACAUUUACCUGAUAGAUGGUGGAACUAAGGGGUGGAACCAGCAAUUACGGGAGCUUAUUCAUUUAUUUAAUGGCCCAAGAGCUCUGCUGUCAUGUUAUAGGGUUACACAAGGUGACUCUGGGUUUAUGGACUUAGAUGGCUAGGAAUGCCUCAUGCUGUCAUUUUUAUUCUUAAAAAAAAACAAAACAGAACAACAACAACAACAACAAUUUGAUAACAAGGUCAACAUUGGCCAGACCCAGGUGGUGAAUUUGGACUGUAACUUGAUUGCCUAUUCUUUUUUAUAAGUCUCAAUUAACUUAUGCUGAAAUUUCUU
Molecule: long non-coding RNA, 2104 nt
Filed under: Mus musculus (house mouse)
Lineage: Eukaryota; Metazoa; Chordata; Mammalia; Rodentia; Muridae
Description: long non-coding RNA chr9:89486487-89488591
Source: RNAcentral